AACGAACGCUGGCGGCAUGCCUAACACAUGCAAGUCGAACGCUGCCUCCGGGUCCUUUGGCGCAGGGGUUGGUUAGCGAACGGAUCAGUACUUUAUGUUCGAACUACCCUCCCGACAGGGGUACUCCUGGGAGACUGGGUCUACUGCCCGAUAAGUUAUGCCACUUCAUUGUGCUGUGUGUAAAGUGAUUUGUUGGUUUUGGAUGGGCCCACGUUGGAUCAGCUUGUUGGUAGGGUAAUAGCAUAGCAAGGCGACGAAGGGUAGCUGGCCCGAGAGGAGGACCGGCCAGGCUGGGAAUGAGACACGGACCAGACUCCUACGGGAGGGAGCAGUGGGGAAUAUUGGACGAUGGGCGAAAGUCUGACGAAGCAAUGCCGGGGGAGAGAGGAAGGGGUUAGGGUUGCAAAGCUAGUAUGCAAGGGAUGAUAAUGACAGUACCGGGAGAAGAAGCUCCGGCUAACUACGUG
RNAcentral lists this ribosomal RNA (467 nucleotides) under uncultured bacterium. RNAcentral's name for it is "partial 16S ribosomal RNA". It matches the Rfam family "Bacterial small subunit ribosomal RNA", at positions 29 to 507 of the family's 1533-position model. The record is from RNAcentral.